GAUGAACGCUGGCGGCGUGCCUAAUACAUGCAAGUCGAGCGAACAGACGAGGAGCUUGCUCCUCUGACGUUAGCGGCGGACGGGUGAGUAACACGUGGAUAACCUACCUAUAAGACUGGGAUAACUUCGGGAAACCGGAGCUAAUACCGGAUAAGAUAUUGAACCGCAUGGUUCAAUAGUGAAAGACGGUGUUGCUGGCACUUAUAGAUGGAUCCGCGCCGCAUUAGCUAGUUGGUAAGGUAACGGCUUACCAAGGCAACGAUGCGUAGCCGAACUGAGGGGGUGAUCGCCCACACUGGAACUGAGACACGGUCAAGACUCCUACGGGAGGCAGCAGUAGGGAAUCUUACGCAAUGGGCGAAAGCCUGACGGAGCAACGCCGCGUGAGUGAUGAAGGUCUUCGGAUCGUAAAACUCUGUUAUUAGGGAAGAACAAAUGUGUAAGUAAAUAUGCACGUCUUGACGGUACCUAAUCAGAAAGCCACGGCUAACUACGUG
RNAcentral lists this ribosomal RNA (497 nucleotides) under uncultured bacterium. RNAcentral's name for it is "partial 16S ribosomal RNA". It matches the Rfam family "Bacterial small subunit ribosomal RNA", at positions 28 to 507 of the family's 1533-position model. The record is from RNAcentral.